GACGAACGCUGGCGGCGUGCCUAAUACAUGCAAGUCGAGCGAAUCUUUGGGAGCUUGCUCCCAAAGGUUAGCGGCGGACGGGUGAGUAACACGUGGGCAACCUGCCUAUAAGACUGGGAUAACUUCGGGAAACCGGAGCUAAUACCGGAUAAUCCUUUUCCUCUCAUGAGGAAGAGCUGAAAGAUGGCCUCUCGCUAUCACUUAUAGAUGGGCCCGCGGCGCAUUAGCUAGUUGGUGAGGUAACGGCUCACCAAGGCGACGAUGCGUAGCCGACCUGAGAGGGUGAUCGGCCACACUGGGACUGAGACACGGCCCAGACUCCUACGGGAGCAGCAGUAGGGAAUCUUCCGCAAUGGACGAAAGUCUGACGGAGCAACGCCGCGUGAACGA
This 390-nucleotide ribosomal RNA is filed under the name uncultured bacterium. Its description in RNAcentral is "bacterial SSU rRNA". It matches the Rfam family "Bacterial small subunit ribosomal RNA", at positions 28 to 408 of the family's 1533-position model. The record is from RNAcentral.